RNAcentral lists this transfer RNA (72 nucleotides) under Ovis aries (sheep). It matches the Rfam family "tRNA". Rfam says of the family: Transfer RNA (tRNA) molecules are approximately 80 nucleotides in length. Their secondary structure includes four short double-helical elements and three loops (D, anti-codon, and T loops). Further hydrogen bonds mediate the characteristic L-shaped molecular structure. tRNAs have two regions of fundamental functional importance: the anti-codon, which is responsible for specific mRNA codon recognition, and the 3' end, to which the tRNAs corresponding amino acid is attached (by aminoacyl-tRNA synthetases). tRNAs cope with the degeneracy of the genetic code in two manners: having more than one tRNA (with a specific anti-codon) for a particular amino acid; and 'wobble' base-pairing, i.e. permitting non-standard base-pairing at the 3rd anti-codon position. The record is from Rfam by way of RNAcentral. Lineage: Eukaryota; Metazoa; Chordata; Mammalia; Artiodactyla; Bovidae.
UCCCUGCUGGCUCAGACAGUAAAGCAUCUGCCUGCAAUGCAGGAGACCCAGGUUCGAUCCCUGGGUUGGGAA